RNAcentral lists this unclassified non-coding RNA (3224 nucleotides) under Hevea brasiliensis (rubber tree). The record is from RNAcentral. Lineage: Eukaryota; Viridiplantae; Streptophyta; Magnoliopsida; Malpighiales; Euphorbiaceae.
GAAAAUGAUAUUGAGUUACAUGCAGAGGUAUGCGUCUACUAUGCAUAUUACAUUUUCUAAAACUAAAGCUGAUUAUUUGCAAAAGAAAAUGAUCUCCAACAAAGUAAAGAGAUGUUGAAUGGCUAUAGCUAGGCCCCAUUAGCCACCUUGAUGAAGACAUCCUCUAAGGUGGUAUCAGACAAACCCCAAGCAAAAACUGGGAAUCUGCUUUUAGCAAUCUCAACUGCAUGAAAUACAUCUGCAAUUCUGACCUCAUUUUUUGGCAUCUCAAACUUCUGUGUUCCAGAUGUAUGGUAAGUCCGUUCAGCAUUGGGGGAGAGUUGUUGCACCAUCAUCACCACCUCUUGCUCAUGAUCCAAAGAUGUUGUCAUUGUAAACACAUAAGAACCACCAUAUCUACCCUUCAGCUCUUUUGGGUUUCCUAUGCACUGCAAGCUGCCAUCAACAAAAACUCCUAAUCGAUCACAUAAGGCUUCUGCCUCUUCCAUUGAAUGUGUGGUGAGAAUAAUUGCCCGGUCUUGCUUUGCACGCUUCACUACAUUCCACAGAUUGCUUCUCGAAGCUGGAUCUAAUCCAGUACUGGGUUCAUCCAUGUAGACAACUUUGGGAUCCCCAAUCAGUGAUAUUGCAACACUAAGCCUCCUCUUCAUACCUCCACUAUAUUUCCCAGCUUGUUUAUCAGCAACCCCACCAUUAAACAAGUUGACACUCCUGAGAGAUUCUUCCACUGCUUGGAUCAAGGCAGAACCUUUUAGGUUUUUAAGUCUGCCAUAAAAUAGCAAGUGUUCCCUUCCUGUCAAAGUUUCCCAAAGCAGGUCAUGCUGAGGGCACACGCCCAUACUGGUAUAAAUCCAAUCCAUAUGAGUCCGUAUGUCCAAACCCUGAACAUAAGCCGUCCCCGAUGUUGGCUUUGUGAGCCCAAUCAUCAUACUAAUAAAAGAGGUCUUCCCAGCACCAUUGGGACCGAGCAUACCAAAGCACUCUCCUGGAGGCAAAGCAAGAGAGAUCCCUCGUACUGCCAGUUUUUCAGGGUUUCCAUCCCUUCCUGGAUACACCUUUUGUAGGUUGUCACAGAUAAUUGCAUGAGUUGUGGUUGGCUCCAGCAGUAAAUGCUCAACCUUCUCUCUCUCCUGAAUGACAUCAGGUUUAUCCAUAUCAACAAAAACUUUAGAUCCCUGCCUUUGCAAACUAGGCUUCCGAAAAGAUGAUGGACGCUUCUUCCCAAAAUUUUGCAAGAAAAAUAGAGGACUUUUUCCACUUCCAGAGGAUAAAACUUGAUCCACAUAAUAUGCAACAAAAAGUAGCACUAACCACUCAACAAACAUGAUAAUCAAGACCUGUCUCAUUCCAUUUUUGCUAUCACUCAAAUUUCCCCAACGCAUCCCAUGUGUCCCCAUUGCAUUCCCUGUAAAAGUGUAUUGUGAAAACUCGUAUAAACCACGAUAUAGAGAGAAACCAGGAUAUAACUCCAACACAAUGAUCCAGCCUCUAGGAAAUGAUGAGUCUUCAACAAAGUUUGCGAAAAGGAAACCACCCAACAGCCCCGUUCCAAAGACGCCUAUGUAGCCUACAACUGCAGCCAUCAAAGUUCAACCACAUAAGAUAAGAAAACCAGCUAAUAUCUUCAAAAUGAAUAUUGACUGAAAAAUAUAUCAAAUAGCUAACAGAAAACCUGUAGCAGUCUUAACAUUGGAAAAGAAUGCAGCGACUAGAAAGGCCACGGAAAUUUGCAGGUUUAUAUAUAUAAAAUAAAACACAAUUUGAAUGCCGUAGUCAUUCAAUGUGAAGAAUUUCAACCCUGCAAUGUAACUGCAUUAGUAACUUGAAGCCAAGGCAAAAGAAGAAAGCACAAAUGACAUGAAUAUUACCUAUAACUGAGCCAAAUAUCACAAAAACCAACAUGUACAUCAAAGAUAUGGAAAGAAAAUAUGUAUAGGAAAUCAUCCAGUAAGGACCAUCACCAAGUCCAUGCAUUUUCAUCAUGAUUCUCAGUUUUUGUUGUUUCUCAUAUACCAAUGAUGUCAGCACCACAGGAAAUAGCUGUAGAAUAACCCAUGUAAAGAAGAGUGUGCCAAGAAGAGAUGCCAGAUCCACAUUGAUUUUGCUGGCAGCUUUAGGCAUUUCUUUGACAAACUCAAAUAGCAUUUUUGUACCAGGCCCUUGGAAAAACUGUAGGUAGGCAUUUGACACCAGAUUCACAAAGCGAGGAACUCGCAGAUAGUUAAAUUGGCCUUGAAUGUCACCCUCUUUAUAGGUUGAAUUGUACCAUAUGCUCACAUUAAAAUUAUUACCGUUGGAGUUUAAGAAAUCAUAGGCUGCAAGUAUCUCAUUAAUCUUCUCAUCAGAAUUCCCUUUACGGUAUCCUUUGAAUAGCUGUUCAUUUAUCUCAGAAGAACUAUUGCGCCACAACUUUAGAUCUUGAACACAUGCUGCCUCUUUUUGAAAUUCAAUGACUGACUGAACAGAAAUAGAUAAUGUGGAGUUUGAUGCACAUUGAUGCUGAACAUAAUAGAGAGUAGAAUUCUCAAUGAAAGCUGGAUCAAUAAAAUUAUCUCUUUUUGGCUCUGUAUCUGAACCCAGCGCAUUGUAGGCUAAACUGUCCAUAUAAUUGGAAGAAUUGAUAGUGAAAGAACUUGGGAACAUAUUCCCAGCCAAAUUUUCUCCAAGUGAUUGAUUAUUUCCAGUGAAGAGUAUAGUUACAGGACAGGACCCUGUACUCCUGCAUGAAUCAUUUGGCAAGUCUGUAAAUGGAAUAACUUCAGAUCUGACUGCACGAUACUGAGGAGCUGGAAUUUGUAAGAGAGGAGGCCAUUGCGGGGGGCUCGGAAUGGAACAGGUGGCAGCUUGAAAUGCAUCUGAGUAUUGCAAACCACAAACUUUCUCCAGUUGUCCAUUUCCAUUUAUAUCAACAUCUUUACAACCACACUUCCUACUAGCCUUGUUCAAUUCAUGGUCAAGCAAACUUUGAGUGAUAACAAGUAGUAUGCAGAGGAUAAAUGGAAAUAAAAUGAGCCUGCAAUUUGUCUUAGCAUUUCGUUUCUGAUAAGUUAAGUUCUUUCUAAGCAAAGCAUCAGCUUGAGUCCAGAAACUUGAAGGGCCAUGUGAUGUGUCCGCCAUGGAUGUGCUAAGCAAGGAUUUGAACGCACAGUAAUAUGCCCAGUUGAAUUGCAAAGUAAUGCACAGUUGAACUUUCCCGCAACAACGAGAGAGAGAGAGAGAGAGAG